Molecule: ribosomal RNA, 497 nt
Filed under: uncultured bacterium
Lineage: Bacteria
Description: partial 16S ribosomal RNA
Rfam family: Bacterial small subunit ribosomal RNA
Source: RNAcentral
GAUGAACGCUGGCGGCGUGCCUAAUACAUGCAAGUCGAGCGAACAGACGAGGAGCUUGCUCCUCUGACGUUAGCGGCGGACGGGUGAGUAACACGUGGAUAACCUACCUAUAAGACUGGGAUAACUUCGGGAAACCGGAGCUAAUACCGGAUAAUAUAUUGAACCGCAUGGUUCAAUAGUGAAAGACGGUUUUGCUGUCACUUAUAGAUGGAUCCGCGCCGCAUUAGCUAGUUGGUAAGGUAACGGCUUACCAAGGCAACGAUGCGUAGCCGACCUGAGAGGGUGAUCGGCCACACUGGAACUGAGACACGGUCCAGACUCCUACGGGAGGCAGCAGUAGGGGAUCUUCCGCAAUGGGCGAAAGCCUGACGGAGCAGCGCCGCGUGGGUGAUGAAGGUCUUCGGAUCGUAAAACUCUGUUAUUAGGGAAGAACAAAUGUGUAAGUAACUAUGCACGUCUUGACGGUACCUAAUCAGAAAGCCACGGCUAACUACGUG